GACGAACGCUGGCGGCGCGCCUAACACAUGCAAGUCGAACGAGCGAGAGGGAGCUUGCUUUCUCGAGCGAGUGGCGAACGGGUGAGUAACGCGUGAGGAACCUGCCUCAAAGAGGGGGACAACAGUUGGAAACGACUGCUAAUACCGCAUAAGCCCACGGGUCGGCAUCGACCAGAGGGAAAAGGAGCAAUCCGCUUUGAGAUGGCCUCGCGUCCGAUUAGCUAGUUGGUGAGGUAACGGCCCACCAAGGCGACGAUCGGUAGCCGGACUGAGAGGUUGAACGGCCACAUUGGGACUGAGACACGGCCCAGACUCCUACGGGAGGCAGCAGUGGGGAAUAUUGCACAAUGGGGGAAACCCUGAUGCAGCGACGCCGCGUGGAGGAAGAAGGUCUUCGGGAUUGGUAAACUCCUGUUGUUGAGGAAGAUAAUGACGGUACUCAACAAGGAAGUGACGGCUAACUACGUG
RNAcentral lists this ribosomal RNA (468 nucleotides) under uncultured bacterium. Its description in RNAcentral is "bacterial SSU rRNA". It matches the Rfam family "Bacterial small subunit ribosomal RNA", at positions 28 to 507 of the family's 1533-position model. The record is from RNAcentral.